This 1256-nucleotide ribosomal RNA is filed under the name Ceratocombus sp. HL-2012. Its description in RNAcentral is "16S ribosomal RNA". The stretch from base 1011 to 1169 matches the Rfam family "Bacterial large subunit ribosomal RNA", at positions 2473 to 2632 of the family's 2925-position model. Lineage: Eukaryota; Metazoa; Arthropoda; Insecta; Hemiptera; Ceratocombidae. The record is from RNAcentral.
UAAUUACAAUUUUAUAUGUUAUAUUAUUUUUUAUAGUCAUAAAAAAAGUAGUUUAAUUUUUGAAGUAUGUGUUUGGAAUUAAAUGUUUCUGUUAUAAUUUAUUUUACUGUAAGGGAUAGAUUUAAUUUUUAUAUAAAUACAUAAAUAUGGUACCUUUUGUAUCAGGGUUAAUUAAUUUUAAUAUAUAUAUUUAUAUUUCCCGAAAUAUAGUGAUCUAAUAAUCUAUGUGAUAUUUUAUUUUAUAAAAAUUUAUAAUAGUUAAAUAGAUAUGAUAUAUAAUACGUAUUAUAUAUAUCUGGUUUUUUAAUUCUUUAAUUUAAUUUAUGUAUAAAUUUAUAUUUUUUAAUUUAUAUUUUGAAAUUUUAUUUUAUGCUAAAAAUAUGGGGGAUAAUCUCUAUUAUUUUUAUAUAAUUUAUUUUAAUAUGAGAUUUUGUAGGAUUAGAAUCAUCUAUCUUAAAUUUCGUUUUAGAUUAGUUUUUUAUAUUUUUAAUUUAUAUUAAUUAUUUAUUAUAUUAUUAAAAUUAUAAUUUUAAUACAUAUUAUUAUUUGUUAAUGAUUAAAUUAGUAGAUAAGUAAUUAAAUUUUUAGGAACUCGGCAAAUAUUAUUUUCACCUGUUUAUCAAAAACAUGUCCUUUAGGUUUUUUAUUUAAGGUCUUACCUGCCCUAUGAAUAGGUUUUAAAUGGCUGCAGUAAUUUUGACUGUGCAAAGGUAGCAUAAUCAUUUGUCUUUUAAUUGAAGUCUGGAAUGAAUGGUUUUAUGAAAAAAAAUCUAUCUAAUAUUUAUUAUUGAAUUUAAUUUUUAAGUGAAAAAUCUUAAUUAAUACAGAGGGACGAGAAGACCCUAUAGAAUUUUAUUUUUAUUUUCUUUAUAUUAUUUAUUUUUUCUAGUAUAAAGAAACGUUUAAUUUUGUUGGGGUGAUGGUAAAAUUUAAUUAACUUUUAUUUUUUUAAUUUCACUUAUUUUUGAUUUAAUUGAUCCUUUAUGAUUAUGAGAUUAAAUUACCUUAGGGAUAACAGCGUAAUUUAUUUGUAGAGUUCAUAUCGAUGAUUAAGUUUGCGACCUCGAUGUUGAAUUAAGAUUAUUUCUUGGAGUAGAUUUUUAGAUUUUAGGUCUGUUCGACCUUUAAAUUCUUACAUGAUUUGAGUUCAGAUCGGCGUGAGCCAGAUUGGUUUCUAUCUUUUGUUUAAUUUUAUAUUUUUAGUACGAAAGGACCAUUUUAUAGUAAUAUUUAUUUUUUAUUUUUGAAUUAAAUAA